Long non-coding RNA from Melopsittacus undulatus (budgerigar), 2308 nucleotides. RefSeq lists it as uncharacterized. The transcript has 3 exons. The record is from RefSeq and is a predicted model, not a curated record. Lineage: Eukaryota; Metazoa; Chordata; Aves; Psittaciformes; Psittaculidae.
AGGGGCUUGGAGCAGCUGCUCCAGUGGAAGGGGUCCCUGCCCAUGGCAGGGGUUGGAACUGGAUGAGCUUUAAGGUCCCUUCAACCUAAACCAUCCUGUGAUGUUAUGACAAAGGCUGAUGCUUCCUUACUCGGUACAGUUCUUUUUGUGGUGUCAUAAAAAGCACCCAGUGCUGGUCUUCCUGGGGUCACAAGUGACAUCAAGGCACAGAGUCAUUAGUGCACAGGGAGUGUUGGGUAUCGGCACCUUCUUGUUAGCCUCCUGUAAUGAGAAUAUUGGCAUUGGUAUCGCGUGGCUGCCUCUGGCUGACCACGGAGAGGCCGUGCCCAGCUAUGCUGGAGCAGCACCAUGUGGGAAAUGCAAGAUUCCCUGCCAGUGUCCCCCUGCUUGCUGCAGGUUUGUAGCACAGCUCCGACUUUAUGCUUUUUUGGCACAAAAAAUGAGUGGAGAGCAAGUGUGAGGUGUCCAGGCCAGCUUCCAUACGGUGCUCCUGAGAGAGCUGGUGUGUGGUGUCCUGUGAAAACUGCCAAUAGCUCCUGUGCCCGAAGCCUCGGCUGUACUUGGAGUAAACCACCAUGGACAGGGAUAUGACUUUUAUUCUCUCAUCAGGGAUGUGUUGGUUUGGAGAUCCGCCUUGUGCUCCUCAGAGGCCUCUGCUGGCAUGGAGGGACCCUGGACUGAGAAGCUGGCCGCUUGGGAUUUUCCCAUAUUUUUCAGGUCGGCACAUCCUGUGGGACUUGGGAUUACUUUUCUUUGGCAGUUUAGGACAAAUGAGGGAGAAUUACCUUGUGAGAGCUGAACCUUUACCACCUCUGCUUUGGACUGAAGAGCUGCUGCUAUUACAUCCAUGGCAUUUCCAAGCUAAACACAUUUCUGGUGCCAAAAAGCAGCCUGGAAGACUGAAGUCCUCUCUGUUUAGCCGCCCUGUCUUUAGGAAAACGCCUUGUGAGGAUCCAGAACCAGACUUCGUGUUCAAAGCCAUUAUCAGUGUGUAAGCUGAUAUCCUCUGUCUUGGCAACAAAUGAGCCCAAACACCAAACAGCACCAAUGCCUUCUUGGAGAAAAUUAUCCGUCGCAUAAAACGUUAAUGGGUAAGCAAUAAAAUUAGGCCUGUAAUUCAGGCUUGGCUUAAAACUGAGCUAAAAGCCUCACUGGCAUUUGGGUAUUCAGCUGCCAUAGCAUCGUUUUAAUAAACAGAGUCAAUGAGCAGGAAAGGGCCAUAAAUAAAUACAGUUUAUAGUGACAAAAUGGUGGCUGGAGCUGGGUGGCUCGAACAAAGAAAUGCUCUGUGCAUUCCUCGUGAUGUCUGAGGGCUCCCGUAUGGCUAAACCUACGGUUUUCCAGUAAAAAACAAAGCAAGUGGGAUGUGCACUGGAUGCUGUUGGGGAUGAUUGCUGUGUGUCACUAUGUGAUCGCUCUAAUCCAUGCUGGAUGUAGCUGUCCAUGUCCCCAGCUAUGGGGAGAGGUGUAACGCCUUCCUUCCCGACUCCAGCUGUGCUCCACAGAGGAAUUGCUACACUGGGACCCAGUGUAAGGAAUUACACUCUUGGCACAUGGAGCUCCCAUUGCUGUCCCUGUUAGUCUCUAAUCUUUGCUUCUGAAGUGUUUGGCAAGCUGUCCUGGUGACACAUGGCAGCGAGCUCUGCUGCACGGGUAAGAUGCUGCUGUGUUCAGAACAUGGAAACUUGCCUUUUCUCUGGUGUUUGGUGUUCUGUCCUUAAAGGGAGGCUCUCUCUAGCUAGUCUGCAGACCCCAAGGAUGUUUUCUGAUUCUCCUGCCCCUUUUUCUCUCCUCCAAGCUGGUUGCUGCUAACUUUACUAGUUCUUUAUAAGGCAGCCCCGUUUUCUCACGCCUUUAAUGGUUCUCUUUUGAUCUGCCCCCUUCUUGCUUUGAUUUUCUUGCCGUGAACACGGCGUUCAAGCUGAGAUGGGUUUAUAACCUCAUUACUAUAUAGCCUGGUGCUUUAAUCCUCUCCAACUGCCGAUAAGAAAUGUCCCAAUGUUUUCACUACGGGGUUGACCGAGAUGUCCGGAGAUAGCUGGGUUCUCGGCUACACCCACAGGAGUAAUUCAUGUUGCUCCUUGAGGUGUGCCAGGUUCUUGUGUGUACUGAAGGCUGUUGGGCAUUGGAGAGCUGCUGCAGCCCCCUUGUCCUAAACGCUCUGCCCGCCUACGAUGGGUGGCACAUGGGGAUGAGUGUCUGUGCCUUGUCCCUGGAUGCUCAUUAUGGUGUUGCCUGUGGCAGUGUUGGCAGCUGCCAUGUAGGAGCUGUCCUCUGCCAGGGAGGUGCCUUUUGCUGGGUGGAUGGU